GCAGUGUGAGAAAAAUAAAUUGCUUUUUGAACAUUAAAGCAUGGAGACAUGUCACAGUAGAGGCACAACAUACUAAUGUGAUCCUGAGAAUGAGCAUCAGAGGGCCCCUUUAAACUAUUCCCGCUUCCUGAAGCAAACAAUAGAAUUUCAAUUUAAAAUGAUACACCUAACACAAUAUACCGUAUGUAAGUUAGUAUGUGAACCUAAAUCUAAAAAAGAUCAUACAUCUUAGUCUCUUACUGAAGUUUAAAGUUAUACAAAAGCAAGUCAUAUCUGUCAUUUUCAAAUGUCAAACAAUUGAAGUUCUGUGUUGUCCAUUUGUCAGGUGUGGUGUUGGACACCUUAACAGCAGCAACAACAACAAAAACAACAACCACUUCCUUUGAAUAUUGGUAAUAAUACAUUUAUUCCAUUUAUAUAAUAUUUACCUUAUUUAAGUGUGCCCCUAUGUUUGGGUUAUUUUCAAAAUAGUUAUUUUCAAAAUAUAAUAUACUCACAAUAAUAAUAAUACUAGUAAUGACAACACUAUUUCAUUAUACAGCUAUAUUAUAUUAAUUUAAUUACACAAUAUGUACCACAAGCAAGCAGAGUUUCGUAUGGAAAUGAAAAUUGUAUUUGAAUCCUUUCGUCAUUUCGAAAUGCAUUGCCCAAACAUACCAUUAAUAACAUUAAUAAAAGAAAUACUGCUUUAACAACCCAAUUUAAAUACAUUAAUUGGCAGGUCAUAUAUCUAUUUAUUUAAAGUUGUAUUUAUUUAUUUGAUGUGUUAAUGACAUUAAGGAAGAGUCAGAUCUGUGUUCAUUGGAAUAAAAUAUCACCUCUCAUUGGCUGUUUUUAAAUGUUGUAGAUUCUUCUGGCUUUCACCUUGUUACUUAACCUACUUGCAACAUACUGUAUAUAAUUAAUAGUAAAAUAA
Molecule: long non-coding RNA, 916 nt
Organism: Notothenia coriiceps (black rockcod)
Lineage: Eukaryota; Metazoa; Chordata; Actinopteri; Perciformes; Nototheniidae
Exons: 2
Source: RefSeq, a predicted model, not a curated record